This 402-nucleotide ribosomal RNA is filed under the name bacterium. RNAcentral describes it as "partial 16S ribosomal RNA". It matches the Rfam family "Bacterial small subunit ribosomal RNA", at positions 355 to 776 of the family's 1533-position model. The record is from RNAcentral.
UGGGGAAUUUUGCACAAUGGGGGAAACCCUGAUGCAGCGACGCCGCGUGAUUUAGAAGGCCUUCGGGUUGUAAAAAUCUUUUCUAUGGGAAGAAAAUGACAGUACCAUAGGAAUAAGGACCGGCUAAUUACGUGCCAGCAGCCGCGGGAAUACGUAAGGUCCGAGCGUUUCCCGGAAUCAUUGGGCGUAAAGGGUACGUAGGCGGGUUAGCAAGUUAGAAGUGAAAUCCUAUAGCUCAACUAUAGUAAGCUUUUAAACCUGCUCAUCUUGAGGUAUGGAAGGGAAAGUGGAAUUCCUAGUGUAGCGGUGAAAUGCGCAGAUAUUAGGAAGAAUACCGGUGGCGAAGGCGACUUUCUGGCCAUAACCUGACGCUGAGGUACGAAAGCGUGGGUAGCAAACAGG